Molecule: ribosomal RNA, 468 nt
Filed under: uncultured bacterium
Lineage: Bacteria
Description: partial 16S ribosomal RNA
Rfam family: Bacterial small subunit ribosomal RNA
Source: RNAcentral
GACGAACGCUGGCGGCGUGCUUAACACAUGCAAGUCGAACGGACAGGCCCUGCUUUUGUUGGGUGCUCGAGUGGCGAACGGGGGAGUAACACGCGUGUAACCUGCCCCUGUCAUUGGGAUAUCUUCAGGAAACUGGGGCGCAUACCGGGUAGGAGCUCCUGCUCCAUGGUGGGGGUUGGAAAGUUUCGGCGGUGGGGGAUGGUCUCGCGGCUUAUCGGCUUGUUGGUCGGGUAGGGGUUGACCAGGGCUUUGACGGGUAGCCGGCCUGGGCGGGUGACCGGCCACCAGACGACUGAGAGAGGGCGCAGACUCCUAUGGGAGGCAGCAGGGGGGAGUAUUGCACAAUGGGCGGAAGCCUGAUGCAGCAGCGCCGCGUGCGGGAUGAUGGCCUUCGGGUUGUGAACCGCUUUCGCAUGUGACGAAGCGUGAGUGACGGUAAUGGGUAAAGAAGCACCGGCUAACUACGUG